UNUGACUUGAGUGCAGAAGGGGAGAGUGGAAUUCCAUGUGUAGCGGUGAAAUGCGUAGAUAUAUGGAGGANCACCAGUGGCGAAAGCGGCUCUCUGGUCUGUCACUGACGCUGAGGCUCGAAAGCGUGGGUAGCGAACAGGAUUAGAUACCCUGGUAGUCCACGCCGUAAACGAUGAGUGCUAGGUGUUAGGCCCUUUCCGGGGCUUAGUGCCGGAGCUAACGCAAUAAGCACUCCGCCUGGGGAGUACGACCGCAAGGUUGAAACUCAAAGGAAUUGACGGGGGCCCGCACAAGCGGUGGAGCAUGUGGUUUAAUUCGAAGCAACGCGAAGAACCUUACCAGGUCUUGACAUCCCGAUGCUAUUCUUAGAGAUAGGAAGUUACUUCGGUACAUCGGAGACAGGUGGUGCAUGGUUGUCGUCAGCUCGUGUCGUGAGAUGUUGGGUUAAGUCCCGCAACGAGCGCAACCCUUAUUGUUAGUUGCCAUCAUUAAGUUGGGCACUCUAGCGAGACUGCCGGUAAUAAACCGGAGGAAGGUGGGGAUGACGUCAAAUCAUCAUGCCCCUUAUGACCUGGGCUACACACGUGCUACAAUGGUCGGUACAACGAGUUGCGAGCCGGUGACGGCAAGCUAAUCUCUGAAAGCCGAUCUCAGUUCGGAUUGGAGGCUGCAACUCGCCUCCAUGAAGUCGGAAUCGCUAGUAAUCGCGGAUCAGCACGCCGCGGUGAAUACGUUCCCGGGCCUUGUACACACCGCCCGUCACACCACGAGAGUUUGUAACACCCGAAGUCGGUGAGGUANCCUUUUAGGGGCCA
RNAcentral lists this ribosomal RNA (816 nucleotides) under uncultured bacterium. Its description in RNAcentral is "bacterial SSU rRNA". It matches the Rfam family "Bacterial small subunit ribosomal RNA", at positions 636 to 1451 of the family's 1533-position model. The record is from RNAcentral.